This 497-nucleotide ribosomal RNA is filed under the name uncultured bacterium. Its description in RNAcentral is "partial 16S ribosomal RNA". It matches the Rfam family "Bacterial small subunit ribosomal RNA", at positions 28 to 507 of the family's 1533-position model. The record is from RNAcentral.
GAUGAACGCUGGCGGCGUGCCUAAUACAUGCAAGUCGAGCGAACAGACGAGGAGCUUGCUCCUCUGACGUUAGCGGCGGACGGGUGAGUAACACGUGGAUAACCUACCUAUCAGACUGGGAUAACUUCGGGAAACCGGAGCUAAUACCGGAUAAUAUAUUGAACCGCAUGGUUCAAUAGUGAAAGACGGUUUUGCUGUCACUUAUAGAUGGAUCCGCGCCGCAUUAGCUAGUUGGUAAGGUAACGGCUUACCAAGGCAACGAUGCGUAGCCGACCUGAGAGGGUGAUCGGCCACACGGGAGCGGAGACACGGUCCAGACUCCUACGGGAGGCAGCAGUAGGGAAUCGUCCGCAAUGGGCGAAAGCCUGACGGAGCAACGCCGCGUGAGUGAUGAAGGUCUUCGGAUCGUAAAACUCUGUUAUUAGGGAAGAACAAAUGUGUAAGUAACUAUGCACGUCUUGACGGUACCUAAUCAGAAAGCCACGGCUAACUACGUG